GACGAACGCUGGCGGCGUGCCUAAUACAUGCAAGUCGAGCGAUGAUUAAAGAUAGCUUGCUAUUUUUAUGAAGAGCGGCGAACGGGUGAGUAACGCGUGGGAAAUCUGCCGAGUAGCGGGGGACAACGUUUGGAAACGAACGCUAAUACCGCAUAACAAUGAGAAUCGCAUGAUUCUUAUUUAAAAGAAGCAAUUGCUUCACUACUUGAUGAUCCCGCGUUGUAUUAGCUAGUUGGUAGUGUAAAGGACUACCAAGGCGAUGAUACAUAGCCGACCUGAGAGGGUGAUCGGCCACACUGGGACUGAGACACGGCCCAGACUCCUACGGGAGGCAGCAGUAGGGAAUCUUCGGCAAUGGGGGCAACCCUGACCGAGCAACGCCGCGUGAGUGAAGAAGGUUUUCGGAUCGUAAAACUCUGUUGUUAGAGAAGAACGUUAAGUAGAGUGGAAAUUUACUUAAGUGACGGUAUCUAACCAGAAAGGGACGGCUAACUACGUGCCAGCCGCCGCCGUAA
This 515-nucleotide ribosomal RNA is filed under the name uncultured bacterium. RNAcentral describes it as "partial 16S ribosomal RNA". It matches the Rfam family "Bacterial small subunit ribosomal RNA", at positions 28 to 523 of the family's 1533-position model. The record is from RNAcentral.